CCUAGGGUGGCUGCAGUGGGGAAUAUUGGACAAUGGGGGCAACCCUGAUCCAGCCAUGCCGCGUGUGUGAAGAAGGCCCUCGGGUUGUAAAGCACUUUCAGUGAGGAAGAACGCCUGGUGGUUAAUACCCAUCAGGAAAGACAUCACUCACAGAAGAAGCACCGGCUAACUCCGUGCCAGCAGCCGCGGUAAUACGGAGGGUGCGAGCGUUAAUCGGAAUUACUGGGCGUAAAGCGCGCGUAGGUGGCUUGAUAAGCCGGUUGUGAAAGCCCCGGGCUCAACCUGGGAACGGCAUCCGGAACUGUCAAGCUAGAGUGCAGGAGAGGAAGGUAGAAUUCCCGGUGUAGCGGUGAAAUGCGUAGAGAUCGGGAGGAAUACCAGUGGCGAAGGCGGCCUUCUGGACUGACACUGACACUGAGGUGCGAAAGCGUGGGUAGCAAACAGGAUUAGAUACCCCGGUAGUC
This 464-nucleotide ribosomal RNA is filed under the name Vreelandella stevensii. RNAcentral describes it as "partial 16S ribosomal RNA". It matches the Rfam family "Bacterial small subunit ribosomal RNA", at positions 338 to 795 of the family's 1533-position model. The record is from RNAcentral. Lineage: Bacteria; Pseudomonadati; Pseudomonadota; Gammaproteobacteria; Oceanospirillales; Halomonadaceae.